AAGAGCUGCAGGAACCAGGAAACAAGCAACAAAGAAAUGUCACCGUGCUCCGAAAGGACCUGGAAAGACUAUUUCACGGAAUACAGAGAAUGAGGCACUGGGAGGAGAAAGCCAAACCUUCCAAGAGCAGGGACUUGAAGACAUCAUUUCCAUGUUUCCUGGAUGUAUCCAUUUCACACUGAAUGACAAAAUAGAAAAUGGAAUGUCAUCACAGUUCCCACUCAAGCCAAUCCUAGUGGCAGGGUUUUUUGGGAGCAGCUGAACCAUGAUCUCACUAUGAAGAUGAAAUGUAAGACUGUGUAACCCAGGCUCAUGGAGAGAUUAGAAGGGAUUUCACAUCUCCAGAUUCCUUGGUGAUGCUUGGAUGGAAAGAGGCUCAGGGAACAGAAGCCAGCCCUUGUCUUUGGCUACAAAACAGAAUUCCCUGAGUAAAAGCCAGCAAAGAGCUUUUGAAGAGAGCACAUCCGGCUGGCCAUUUCAGGAAGUUGUUAGCAGUGGAGGGAAGUGGUAAGUGAAAGGAAGGGGGUUGGGGGAUGAGGGACUGAUGGAGAGUGGACAGUAUCCCUGAUCUUUCUUCUCUGCGGCAGCCCUGUGAUGGGCUUCAAAUACCUCACGACUUCCACUACCAUCACUUGGAAGCCAACAACUGUGAAUCCACUCCCUGAAUGAGUCUGCAGGCUGCUCCCUGAGCUUAGAAAGCUCAGCCUGCAAGGUGUGGUACCAUACCCUUUUAAUCCCAGCACCCAGGAAGCAGAGGCAGGCAGAUCUCUACGGGUUUGCUGUCAGCCUGGUCUACACAGUGAAUUUCAGACCAUCCAGGGCUACACAGUGAGACCUUGUCUCUCAAGUCAUUAAUUGAUAAAUUAAAAAAUAAUAAUAAUGCAGCCUGCACCAAUUCAAAUGGCACCUCCAUAGUAAUGCCAGAUUUCCUCAGGCAGUAACGGCUUUGCUCCUCUCUAUUUCUAAACAACUACGUGUUCAAGCAAGCUCUAAUUUCUAAGGCGAGCGUUGUAUCUGCUUUGAAUUUAACGCAGAUGAAUUUAGCUUCAAGCACUCAUUAAAAAGCAAGUUUUAGAAGAGAGGCAUUUUUAUCUUCAUCUCUACAGAAUACCUCUUCUCCUGUGUUUUUUCCUUAAAUUUUUUAUUUAAAUAUAAUUAUAUCACUUUCCCCUUUCUUCUCUAAGCUCCUCCCAAUUCUCCUCCUAACUGCCUCCAUGCCCUUAACCUGUAACCCAGCACUCUUAACACAAAGCAGGAGGAUUGUGGUCGUGUUCAAGGCCAGCCUGGCUGCAAGUCAGACCCUACCUUAAGGGGCCAAGCAAUGACAAUAAAUAAGUGCAAUUUUAAAGGCAAUUCUUGACGAAAAUCAGAGGAAAAGGUUAUUCAGAAUUCACUCCUGGCUUUGGAGGAGCAGCCUUCCCGGCUGUUUGCAGUGACGCAGUACAUGCUAACACCCUGGGGUUACACUGUACGUGCUGAUGCUCUUUGCAGUUACACUGUACACGCUGACACUCUGCAGCUACACUGUACCUGCUGACACUCAACUAAAACGUGAGCCCUGAAGGGGCUGGGGAUCCUCCACCCGCCUUGUGAUAACUUCCUUUUAUUUAACCCCUUCUCUCUUUGCUCAAGUGUGUGCGUGGUGUAUUGUGUGUGGGCAGGUAGAAGUAUGUGGACUCAGUCACAUUGGAGGACUCUUCUUUCACUCUGCCCCUUGUCUCUCACUGACCUGGGAGCUUGCCACUUUAGCUAGGCUGGCUGCUCAGCAAGCUCUAGAGGUCUGACUCCGCCCCACCCCCAGUGCUCCAAGCUGGGUUCACAGGCACAAGGGUGCUUGCUCUCUCAUCCACAGAUCCAUCUCCCUCCCUCGCCUGUGGUAACUUCUCAGCUCCACCCCUUCUUUUCGUACUCUGAAGGUUGGAAACCAGUGCCCCCAGCAGAAGUUGAGUGCACAGUUGUAAGCCGGGUGAAAUGACUGCCGAAUUUCCCACAGGCAACACCUUGUCUGGGAUUAAAAAGAAACCAUCUUGCUCAAUCAGCCUCUCAAACUAUUAUCUGAUCCCUUUUCUGCAGACGCCUCAACCCGAGCUAUUCACUUUCCAAGGCGUCACAGGUCACAGUGGGAAAACCUCAUUGCUAGGCAAUCAGAGCACAAAGAGAGCCAGUCAGGGAGCCAUGAGCAAGGAGGAGCUUAGAUGGCUGCUGCCACCUGUUCCAGACCGGACCACACUGGCUGCAAUCAGGGUUUGAGGUAGUCUUCCAGCCAGUCCCCUGGAAGACUUUCUGUCCCAUCUGAAACAGUCUGCCAUAAGGAUGGGAAUGCACAAGCCUCCCUCACCUCCCCUAGUUCAACUCUCCAGCACAGUGGGUGCCUGAUCGGCUAUGUCUGCCAUCCAGCCUUUAUGAGAGUCAAAGACCACUCAGACAGAUCGUAGGGAAGGAGACCUAGUUAGAAACAGAAAACAGAGUUGCACUGACCAGGACCAGGUGGCCCCUCCGGCCUGCUCUGCCAAGUACUCCUGCCCCAUCAGGAGAAAUUCUGAGUUGGUAGGUUUGUUGGUGUACACCUGUAACACCAGCACUUGGGAUGUGGAGGCAGGGGGGGAGAAGUCAGCAAAAUGAGUCUCUGAGUUCAAUUCCUCAGCAACCACACAGCAGUAGGGAAGGAUAGCAGAAGGUGGAGCCACCGCAUUGCUUCCACCAGCACAAUCCCCCGGCACAACAAUACCUAGAACCUGCCCUGGCCUCCCCAUCAUAGAGAACAGAGCCACUGCCUGGACGGAAUCCCAGGACAUCAUCUCCGUCUUCAUUAUAACUAGCCUGCUGCCUCCUCGAGGCAAAGCUUACCCAGCCAUGAACUUCUACGUGCAUCCCUUCACUGUGAAGGGUGAGUAGAGUAAUGACAGGAAACAGCCAGUCCUUCACUAAGAAAACAACUGAACAAGUAUGCUCGGUUUAUGGAAACGUUUGAGACUCGGUGGGCAAAGGAACGCAGGUGUGAUUCAACGUUACCCCCAGUUUUAGCAUUUAAUAAAUUGCCUUGGAUCUGA
Molecule: long non-coding RNA, 3050 nt
Organism: Meriones unguiculatus (Mongolian gerbil)
Lineage: Eukaryota; Metazoa; Chordata; Mammalia; Rodentia; Muridae
Exons: 2
Source: RefSeq, a predicted model, not a curated record